GGCUUGUUGGUCUAGGGUAUGAUUCUCGCUUAGGGUGCGAGAGGUCCCGGUUUCAAAUCCCAGACAAGCCC
RNAcentral lists this transfer RNA (71 nucleotides) under Alosa alosa (allis shad). RNAcentral's name for it is "tRNA-Pro". The record is from RNAcentral. Lineage: Eukaryota; Metazoa; Chordata; Actinopteri; Clupeiformes; Clupeidae.